RNAcentral lists this ribosomal RNA (1105 nucleotides) under uncultured cyanobacterium. Its description in RNAcentral is "bacterial SSU rRNA". It matches the Rfam family "Bacterial small subunit ribosomal RNA", at positions 391 to 1514 of the family's 1533-position model. Lineage: Bacteria; Bacillati; Cyanobacteriota. The record is from RNAcentral.
GCGACGCCGCGUGAACGAUGAAGUCUUUCGGGAUGUAAAGUUCUGUCAGCAGGGAAAAUAAUGAUGGUACCUGCAGAGGAAGCACCGGCAAACUAUGUGCCAGCAGCCGCGGUAAUACAUAGGGUGCGAGCGUUGUCCGGAUUUACUGGGCGUAAAGCGUAUGUAGGUGGUAUCUUAAGUCAAAUUUUAAAUUCUAAGGCUCAACCUUAGUUCGGGUUUGAUACUGAGAUGCUAGAGAUUUGGAGAGGAAAGCGGAACAAACAGUGUAGCGGUGAAAUGCGUAGAUAUUGUUUGGAACACCCGUGGCGAAGGCGGCUUUCUGGCCAAAUUCUGACGCUAAGAUACGAAAGCGUGGGGAUCAAACAGGAUUAGAUACCCUGGUAGUCCACGCUGUAAACGAUGUACAUUAGGUAUGGGAGGUAUCGACCCCUUCCGUGCCGAAGCUAACGCGUUAAAUGUACCGCCUGGGGAGUACGGUCGCAAGAUUAAAACUCAAAGGAAUUGACGGGGGCCCGCACAAGCAGUGGAUCAUGUGGUUUAAUUCGACGAUACGCGAAAAACCUUACCAGAUCUUGACAUCUAGUGAAUCCCAUAGAAGUAUGGGAGUGCCCGCAAGGGAACGCUAAGACAGGUGGUGCAUGGUUGUCGUCAGCUCGUGUCGUGAGAUGUUGGGUUAAGUCCCGCAACGAGCGUAACCCUCGUGCUGUGUUGCUACAUUUAGUUGAGCACUCUCAGCAGACUGCCCGUGGUAAACGGGAGGAAGGUGGGGAUGACGUCAAAUCAUCAUGCCCCUUAUGUUCUGGGCCACACACAUGAUACAAUGGACGGUACAAAGGGAUGCCAACUCGCAAGAGGGAGCAAAUCUCAAAAAACCGUCCCCAGUUCAGAUUAAAGGCUGCAACUCGCCUUCAUGAAGCCGGAAUUGCUAGUAAACGCAGAUCAGAACGCUGUGUUGAAUACGUUCCCGGGCCUUGUACACACCGCCCGUCACACCAUGAAAGUCAGAAAUAUCCGAAGUCAGUGAGCCAACCGCAAGGAGGCAGCUGCCUAAGAUAGCGCUGGUGAUUGGGGUGAAGUCGUAACAAGGUAGCCGUACCGGAAGGUG